GAGAUAUUAGAAAAAUUAUUUCAUAGCUUUGUCAAAGCUAAAUUAUAGGAUAUAUCCUAUAUAUCUUA
RNAcentral lists this transfer RNA (68 nucleotides) under Trachypithecus phayrei (Phayre's leaf monkey). RNAcentral's name for it is "tRNA-Asp". Lineage: Eukaryota; Metazoa; Chordata; Mammalia; Primates; Cercopithecidae. The record is from RNAcentral.